Long non-coding RNA from Zea mays, 2294 nucleotides. RefSeq lists it as uncharacterized. The record is from RefSeq and is a predicted model, not a curated record. Lineage: Eukaryota; Viridiplantae; Streptophyta; Magnoliopsida; Poales; Poaceae. The transcript is spliced from 7 exons.
AUCUCCGAGAUGGUGCACGUUCUGCCUCUUGCGCACCCCGCCCCGCAUCGUGGCCGCGGCCGCACCCCGCCCCGCAUCCCGCCGGCGGCCGCACCCCGCCCCGCAGCCCCACCGCCACGUUCUGCCUCUUGCGCACCCCGCCCCGCAUCGCGCCCGCGGCCGCACCUCGCCCCGCAUCCCGCCGGCAGCCGCACCCCGCCCCGCAGCCCCACCGCCAGCACUCCCACGCGCAUCUCCCCUCUAACUCUCUACCUCCUGGCCCCCCUCUCCCAGGGACGUCUCUCGACCUCUAGCUCAGGGCGUCGACACCGCUCCCCCUCGGCGCUGCUCCCCCCGCCUCGGCAACGCUCCCCCAUGGCCCCAUCGACGCUGCUCCCCCCCCCCCCCCCCCCCCCCCCCCCCCCCCCCCCCCCCGCAUUAGCGGCAUCCAGUCAGUGGUUGUCUGGAUCUGGGGGCUCCAAGUGUGGAUCCAGUCCUACCUUCUCCAGAUCUGUUUUCCUCUCACCUGGGUGGGCUUCGUCUUGCCACUGGUCUCCUCCUCGGGCUCGUCGGCGUAGCCGCGGUGGGCACAACCCGCGGCGUGCAGAAGAACCGGAGGCUCGGCUGGUGUUGGUACCAGAGGAGGAGGCGGUGAGUUCUUGAAAGAUGAUGGAGGGGAGACAGACUUGGACCACCAACAUAUGCACGAGGUGGUGAAUGGGGUUCCCUAUGAGCUUCUCCAUCGGCUGGCGUCUCAGCUCCCGUCAGUCGCACUUGGAAGCGGAUUUCAUUUACCCUUUCUCCUCAAGGUGGCCCUCGAUCUAGAGACGCCGUCUAUCUCCAGCAAGAGCGAUACCGUCGAGGCGCCUAUCCACGCCAGACACAACGUCCGCAGUGAUGGGCGACCUCUAAGGCCUGAACGGUGCCACCAUAGGCUUCUCGGCGGCCGGCGGCCCGGAGGAGGCGACUGAAGAGGAGGACAUGCGGGGCUGCGAGGGAUGCGCUCGCCGGUGGCCGAAGUUGGGGCUAAGCUGGGGCUGUGCACAGUCGAGAAGACGAAGGCAAGGCGAGUCACUCCAUCACGCUAUGCAUGUCACCAAGGCGCGGCCUCCCAAUCUCGAGCCUAUACUUUUCAAUGAGGGUUAUGGAUUUAGCAGCAGGGGAACUCCCGGAGAUUGUGCCUCUUGGAAAAGGCUUCUUUCUUGCCAACUAUCCUAUUUCAAUUUUGGAUUGACCAUUAUCGUUCGCGUUCCUUUGUUCUCCAUCUUCAGAUUUAUUGGAACUUGAGCUAGCACCUGUAUGAGUCAAGAGCCUAGACUUUUCAACGAGGGUUAUGGAUUUGGCAGCAGGGGAACUCCCAGAGAUUGUGCCUCUUGGAAAAGGCUUCUUUCUUGCCAACUAUCCUAUUUCAAUUUUGGAUUGACCAUUAUCGUUCGCGUUCCUUUGUUCUCCAUCUUUUACCUCUUGUAGUUACACAAGAACAACUUGAUUGUGCUAAACAUGCAAUCAAAUCUGCAGUUCUGAUGAACUUGGAAUCAAGGGCUCAAGUAACCUGUCUCUUUUUGGUCAUUGUGCUCCAACGUGACAUCACAACAAUCAUUGAGGAGUGUAACCGGCAACCUCAGCUCUGAAAGAACCCUAGAGUAAACACUCACAUCAAGACACUCCACUGUUCACUCUUGUGCUGCUCCUACCAAUGGAGCAAGAGCAUCUCCACCUGGCAAUGGUCCACUCGUUGUAUUCAUCACUAAGUCAGCUCGAUUCCACCAAUGGGUGUUCAUGCUGUUGGAUGGAAAAUGACAACCCCUCUUUGCAUCAUGCACUGUUUUGUCUUUCUAAAAUAUUUCUGUUUGCUCCUAGCGGCUUGAACCCCUACAAGUGCACCUGGCAUUGGUUACCAAUCUGCAGAUUCAUAACAUCUCAUGAAAAGGAUACGUGUUGGACAACCAGAUAAGGUAUUACAGAGAAUAUGAAUAAUCUGGAGGUUCUACUGAUGCAUGUAAAUUAUGGAAUUAUGGUUUCAAUUCUAGAUUAUUUGAUAAUGGCACCUCUAUAUGCUCAUUGGGCAAUGAUCAGAAAGUUGGAGGUCAUAGAAAUACUGAGAAUGGUGAAUUUUGUUUACAUUUAUGGGCACUUUUGAAAAGAAAUUAUUUUGUAUGGUAGUAUUGUUGAAAAGAUCAAUAAUUUUAGAGACUUUGAUGAUCGCUAUGUGGAUCAUUGUGCACGGAAUAAGCGGAGCUGCUCAUAUCUUCUACUAACAAGACACUUAGCAUUCGUUGCCCACUCUUAGCAGCUGCCAGUACCGGUGAUCUCUU